GUUGGUGUCGAUGACGGUGAGGGUCCACCUGUUCCCAUUCCGAACACAGAAGUUAAGCUCAUCAGUGCCGAAGAUACUUGGCUGGUAACGGCCCGGAAACCUCCGGCUAAGCCGGAG
This 117-nucleotide ribosomal RNA is filed under the name Clostridium sp. The record is from RNAcentral. Lineage: Bacteria; Bacillati; Bacillota; Clostridia; Eubacteriales; Clostridiaceae.